RNAcentral lists this ribosomal RNA (229 nucleotides) under uncultured bacterium. RNAcentral describes it as "partial 16S ribosomal RNA". It matches the Rfam family "Bacterial small subunit ribosomal RNA", at positions 568 to 796 of the family's 1533-position model. The record is from RNAcentral.
UCCGUAGGUGGAUCAAUCAGUCAGAGGUGAAAUCCUGCAGCUUAACUGUAGAACUGCCUUUGAUACUGUUGAUCUUGAGUCAUUAUGAAGUGGUUAGAAUGUGUAGUGUAGCGGUGAAAUGCAUAGAUAUUACAUAGAAUACCGAUUGCGAAGGCAGAUCACUAAUAAUGUACUGACACUGAGGGACGAAAGCGUGGGGAGCGAACAGGAUUAGAUACCCUGGUAGUCC